RNAcentral lists this ribosomal RNA (445 nucleotides) under uncultured bacterium. RNAcentral's name for it is "bacterial SSU rRNA". It matches the Rfam family "Bacterial small subunit ribosomal RNA", at positions 335 to 774 of the family's 1533-position model. The record is from RNAcentral.
ACUCCUACGGGAGGCAGCAGUGGGGAAUAUUGCACAAUGGGCGCAAGCCUGAUGCAGCCAUGCCGCGUGUGUGAAGAAGGCCUUCGGUUGUAAAGCACUUUCAGUCGUGAGGAAGGUAGUGUAGUUAAUAGCUGCAUUAUUUGACGUUAGCGACAGAAGAAGCACCGGCUAACUCCGUGCCAGCAGCCGCGGUAAUACGGAGGGUGCGAGCGUUAAUCGGAAUUACUGGGCGUAAAGCGCAUGCAGGUGGUUUGUUAAGUCAGAUGUGAAAGCCCGGGGCUCAACCUCGGAAUAGCAUUUGAAACUGGCAGACUAGAGUACUGUAGAGGGGGUAGAAUUUCAGGUGUAGCGGUGAAAUGCGUAGAGAUCUGAAGGAAUACCGGUGGCGAAGGCGGCCCCCUGGACAGAUACUGACACUCAGAUGCGAAAGCGUGGGGAGCAAACA